UAUGUGAUCGUCUCUCGCAUAUCAAUAAGCGGAGGAAAAGAAACUAACAAGGAUUCCCCUAGUAACGGCGAGUGAAGCGGGAAGAGCUCAAAUUUGAAAUCUUAAAGGGUUUCCCUUUACGAAUUGUAGUUUAAAGAAGUGUUUUCUGUUGAGGUUUUGGUAAAAGUUCUUUGGAAUAGGACAUCAUAGAGGGUGAGAAUCCCGUAUUUGACCUUUACUUUCAACUUCGUGAUACACUUUCAGAGAGUCGGAUUGUUUGGGAAUGCAGUCCAAAAUGGGUGGUAAAUUUCAUCUAAAGCUAAAUAUUGGCGAGAGACCGAUAGCGAACAAGUACCGUGAGGGAAAGAUGAAAAGAACUUUGAAAAGAGAGUUAAACAGUACGUGAAAUUGUCAAAAGGGAAGCGUUUGACACCAGUGUUGUUUUUCUGAAAAUCAAUUAAAGAACUGUUUAUGCUAAGUUGUUUAGACUUUAUCAGCUAUCUGUUUAGUUUUGAGCUUUUCUUUAAUGCACUUUUCAGUUAACAAGUCAACAUCAAUUUCUUUUGCUGUAAAAAAGCUUGAGGAAGGUGGCUUGAGAUUCGUCUUAAGUGUUUAUAGCCUCUUGCCUAUGCAGUCGGAGAGAUUGAGGUCUGCAGCGUAGAUCCUUCGGGGCUAAAUGCAUUUGUGCUAAGUUAUAGCAUUUCAUAGACAACUUGUUGACUAUGAUUUGUCUUGUAGCUUACUCGCUUAUGUUAUUUUACCUACGCUUAGGAUGUUGAAUCUGUGCGAGACUAC
Molecule: ribosomal RNA, 774 nt
Filed under: uncultured Neocallimastigales
Lineage: Eukaryota; Fungi; Neocallimastigomycota; Neocallimastigomycetes; Neocallimastigales
Description: partial large subunit ribosomal RNA
Rfam family: Eukaryotic large subunit ribosomal RNA
Source: RNAcentral